This 131-nucleotide small nucleolar RNA is filed under the name Sorex araneus (European shrew). The record is from RNAcentral. Lineage: Eukaryota; Metazoa; Chordata; Mammalia; Eulipotyphla; Soricidae.
GUUGUUAGAGCUUGGAGCUGAGGCAACUGGCAGGUCGAUGAAUGCUCAAGUGUAGGUUGACUUUUUUUUCAAACUUUUCACUAAUAACACAAGAGUCUCUAGGAGUUAAAAUAAAUUAAUUUGGGAGGAGG